Molecule: ribosomal RNA, 440 nt
Filed under: uncultured bacterium
Lineage: Bacteria
Description: partial 16S ribosomal RNA
Rfam family: Bacterial small subunit ribosomal RNA
Source: RNAcentral
CCUACGAGGGGCAGCAGUGGGGAAUAUUGCACAAUGGGGGAAACCCUGAUGCAGCGACGCCGCGUGAGUGAAGAAGUAAUUCGUGAUGUAAAGCUCUAUCAGCAGGGAAGAAAAUGACGGUACCUGAGUAAGAAGCCCCGGCUAACUACGGGCCAGCAGCCGCGGUAAUACGUAGGGGGCAAGCGUUAUCCGGAUUUACUGGGUGUAAAGGGAGCGUAGACGGCAGUGCAAGUCUGGAGUGAAAGGCGGGGGCUCAACCCCCGGACUGCUCUGGAAACUGUACGGCUGGAGUGCAGGAGAGGUAAGUGGAAUUCCUAGUGUAGCGGUGAAAUGCGUAGAUAUUAGGAGGAACACCAGUGGCGAAGGCGGCUUACUGGACUGUAACUGACGUUGAGGCUCGAAAGCGUGGGGAGCAAACAGGAUUAGAUACCCUUGUAGUC